AUUAAAGAAGCGAAUCUGUUAUAAAAAUAAAAAUAAAAAUGAUCACCUACAUAAGUUUACAUAAAUAAUUAUACAUGGUAAGUAAAACAUAUACCAUCAAUAUUUUUUUGAAAGGUAUACAACGUCAAUCUUAUUAUUAUUACUAUUUUGCAUAUUUAUAGUGUAUGCUUUAUUUUAUAUUUUAUUUUUACAACUAAUAAUGCUUUGGCCUUCUCUCUGACCUAUUCCCUUUCCCUUCCCAUUUCGUUGCUUUCUCUCUCUUCUUCUUUUCUAUCUUUUCAUGCUCUGUUGCUUCAUUUGCCAAAGCUUUUUCCUUCUGCUUUGCUUGCUUUGCCAAAUUUAUUUCCUUCUGGUGUAAUUUUAUUUCCUUCUUCUUUGCUUCCCUUUCCUUCAUCUUUGCUUCCCUUUCCUUCAUCUUUGCUUUCAAUGCCAUAAUCCUUUCUUCCCUUGUUAAAUUUCCCGCACCAACGGGCUUAUUUUGAUCAAAAGAUUCUAUAUCUAUGGGUUUUCGCCCACCAUCAAGCUUAUCUACCAAAACAUUUUUCUUUGACUCUUUUGUAUAUUGUUUACCUUCUUUUAAUGUCUCUGUUGCCACAACAGAUAAAAGAAACAACACAAAGGAAACAUAAAUUAAAAGCUUUGAUUUUCAUCACUACAAUUUCUAAGAAUUUAAUUGUUGUGAAACAUAUGAAUAUACUCGGCAAGAUAAAUAGAUAUGAAAAUCAAAAGUAGAUUUAUUAAAUAAUAUAUUAUUUAAUUGGCUUUCGAGAAUAUUGAGCCAUUGAAGGGUUAUUGAGGUAGGUAAAGUGUUUAAACUUUGAC
RNAcentral lists this long non-coding RNA (822 nucleotides) under Cicer arietinum (chickpea). Its description in RNAcentral is "long non-coding RNA (CARI_LNC003506)". The record is from RNAcentral. Lineage: Eukaryota; Viridiplantae; Streptophyta; Magnoliopsida; Fabales; Fabaceae.